Molecule: non-coding RNA, 42 nt
Filed under: Schistosoma margrebowiei
Lineage: Eukaryota; Metazoa; Platyhelminthes; Trematoda; Strigeidida; Schistosomatidae
Source: RNAcentral
GUCCAGCUGAGUCCCAAACAGGACAAAACUCGCGUCCUGGAU